AACGAACGCUGGCGGCAGGCCUAACACAUGCAAGUCGAGCGCGCCCUUCGGGGUUAGCGGCGGACGGGUGCGUAACGCGUGGGAACGUGCCCUUUUCUACGGAAUAGCCUCGGGAAACGGAGAGUAAUACCGUAUACGCCCUUUGGGGGAAAGAUUUAUCGGAAAAGGAUCGGCCCGCGUUGGAUUAGGUAGUUGGUGGGGUAAUGGCCUACCAAGCCGACGAUCCAUAGCUGGUUUGAGAGGAUGAUCAGCCACACUGGGACUGAGACACGGCCCAGACUCCUACGGGAGGCAGCAGUGGGGAAUCUUAGACAAUGGGGGCAAGCCUGAUCCAGCCAUGCCGCGUGAGUGAUGAAGGCCUUAGGGUUGUAAAGCUCUUUCAGCUGGGAAGAUAAUGACGGUACCAGCAGAAGAAGCCCCGGCUAACUCCGUG
This 433-nucleotide ribosomal RNA is filed under the name uncultured bacterium. RNAcentral's name for it is "partial 16S ribosomal RNA". It matches the Rfam family "Bacterial small subunit ribosomal RNA", at positions 29 to 507 of the family's 1533-position model. The record is from RNAcentral.